RNAcentral lists this ribosomal RNA (913 nucleotides) under uncultured crenarchaeote. RNAcentral's name for it is "bacterial SSU rRNA". It matches the Rfam family "Archaeal small subunit ribosomal RNA", at positions 1 to 922 of the family's 1478-position model. The record is from RNAcentral. Lineage: Archaea; Thermoproteati; Thermoproteota.
UUCCGGUUGAUCCUGCCGGACCUGACUGCUAUCGGAUUGGUACUAAGCCAUGCGAGUCGUUGUAGCAAUACAAGGCGGACGGCUCAGUAACACGUAGUCAACCUAACCUAUGGACGUGGAUAACCUCGGGAAACUGAGAAUAAACCGCGAUAGAUCAUUAUGCCUGGAAUGGCUUAUGGUUCAAACAAUUUAUUGCCGUAGGAUGGGACUGCGGCCUAUCAGCUUGUUGGUGAGGUAAUGGCCCACCAAGGCUAUAACAGGUACGGGCUCUGAGAGGAGAAGCCCGGAGAUGGGUACUGAGACACGGACCCAGGCCCUAUGGGGCGCAGCAGGCGAGAAACCUUAGCAAUGUGCGAAAGCACGACUAGGUUAAUCCGAGUGAUUUCUGUUGAAGAAAUCUUUUGUCAGUCGUAAAACCACAGACGAAUAAGGGGUGGGCAAGUCUGGUGUCAGCCGCCGCGGUAAUACCAGCACCUCGAGUGGUCAGGAGGUUUAUUGGGCCUAAAGCAUCCGUGGCCGGCUUUGCAAGUCUCCGGUUAAAUCCAGCUGCUCAACAGAUGGGCUGCCGGAGAUACUACAAAGCUAGGGAGCGGGAGAGGUAGACGGUAUUCGGUGGGUAGGGGUAAAAUCCACUGAUCCAUCGAGGACCACCAGUGGCGAAGGCGGUCUACCAGAACGCGUUCGACGGUGAGGGAUGAAAGCUGGGGGAGCAAACCGGAUUAGAUACCCGGGUAGUCCCAGCUGUAAACGAUGCAAACUCGGUGAUGCAUUGGCUUAUGGCCAAUGCAGUGCCGCAGGGAAGCCGUUAAGUUUGCCGCCUGGGAAGUACGGACGCAAGUCUGAAACUUAAAGGAAUUGGCGGGGGAGCACCACAAGGGGUGAAGCCUGCGGUUCAAUUGGAUUCAACGCCGGA